UACGUAGGGUGCGAGCGUUAAUCGGAAUUACUGGGCGUAAAGCGUGCGUAGGCUGUUUUGUAAGUUGGAAGUGAAAGCCCAGGGCUUAACCCUGGAAUUGCUUUCAAAACUACAAGACUUGAAUCCCGGAGAGGAUAGCGGAAUUGUCAGUGUAGCAGUGAAAUGCGUAGAUAUUGACAGGAACACCAGUGGCGUAAGCGGCUAUCUGGACGGGUAUUGACGCUGAGGCACGAAAGCGUGGGGAUCAAACAGG
This 253-nucleotide ribosomal RNA is filed under the name uncultured bacterium. RNAcentral describes it as "partial 16S ribosomal RNA". It matches the Rfam family "Bacterial small subunit ribosomal RNA", at positions 524 to 776 of the family's 1533-position model. The record is from RNAcentral.